RNAcentral lists this transfer RNA (75 nucleotides) under Neobacillus sp. PS3-34. Its description in RNAcentral is "tRNA-Arg". It matches the Rfam family "tRNA". From Rfam's summary of the family: Transfer RNA (tRNA) molecules are approximately 80 nucleotides in length. Their secondary structure includes four short double-helical elements and three loops (D, anti-codon, and T loops). Lineage: Bacteria; Bacillati; Bacillota; Bacilli; Caryophanales; Bacillaceae. The record is from RNAcentral.
CCUAAUAGCCUUAAAAAGUUACUGAGCUACAGUUUCCUAAACUGUAGGUCGGAGGUUCGAAUCCUCUUUGGGACG